GAUGAACGCUGGCGGCGUGCUUAACACAUGCAAGUCGAACGAUGAAGCCCAGCUUGCUGGGUGGAUUAGUGGCGAACGGGUGAGUAACGCGUGAAUAACCUGCCGUUGACUCUGGGUUACGCCUGGGAAACUGGGUCUAAUACUGGAUAUGACUUCUCAUCGCAUGGUGGGGGGUGGAGAGCUUUAUUUGUCUUAGAUGGACUCGCGGCCUAUCAGCUUUUUGGUGAGGUAAUGGCACACCAAGGCAACGCCGGGUAGCCGGCCUGAGAGGGUGAACAGCCACCAUGGGACUGCGAGAGGGACCAGACGGGAACGGGAGGCAGCAGUGGGGAAUAUUGCACAAUGGGCGCAAGCCUGAUACAGCGACGCCGCGUGAGGGAUGACGGCCUUCGGGUUGUAAACCUCUUUCAGUAGGGAAGAAGCGAGAGUGACGGUACCUGCAGAAGAAGCGCCGGCUAACUACGUG
RNAcentral lists this ribosomal RNA (466 nucleotides) under uncultured bacterium. RNAcentral describes it as "partial 16S ribosomal RNA". It matches the Rfam family "Bacterial small subunit ribosomal RNA", at positions 28 to 507 of the family's 1533-position model. The record is from RNAcentral.